UACAGAGGUCUCGAGCGUUAGGCGGAAUCACUGGGCUUAAAGCGUGUGUAGGCGGACUUCUAAGUACCUUGUGAAAUCCCACGGCUCACCCGUGGAACUGCUUGGUAUACUGGUCGUCUUGAGCCUUCUAGGGGCGAGUGGAACAAAUGGUGGAGCGGUGAAAUGCGUAGAUAUCAUUUGGAACGCCAAUGGUGAAAACAACUCGCUGGGGAAGUGCUGACGCUGAGACACGAAAGCCAGGGGAGCAAACAGG
RNAcentral lists this ribosomal RNA (253 nucleotides) under uncultured bacterium. Its description in RNAcentral is "partial 16S ribosomal RNA". It matches the Rfam family "Bacterial small subunit ribosomal RNA", at positions 524 to 776 of the family's 1533-position model. The record is from RNAcentral.